Molecule: long non-coding RNA, 603 nt
Filed under: Taeniopygia guttata (zebra finch)
Lineage: Eukaryota; Metazoa; Chordata; Aves; Passeriformes; Estrildidae
Description: lncRNA (ENSTGUG00000023792.1)
Source: RNAcentral
AGCAAUGUUGCCCUGCAAGGAAACCAGCAGCAGCACAGGUUGUCAGUCUGGAAGAUGUUGGAAGAUGUUGCUUGACCCCCUGGCAUCCCACCCAGGACUGAAACCCAGGGAUGUUGGCAUUACCAGGAAGGGAGGCAGUCAGUAACAUCUGUGAAGCCAUCUUCGAAGGUCUGACAUUUUCCCAAAGAAGGCUACAUGAUAUGAAAACAAUGUACUUUAUUCUGUUGGGUAAUUGAACUAAUCAAUCCAAAUAACUGAGGGUUUAUCCCAAACUGAAGUUGAAUCUAAAUUAUGACAGUUACUGCUGCCCACAGCUUGCUUUUGUACUUUGAACCAUUUCUGCUGCCUUUGCUCCCCUCCCAAGUAGAGGCUUUCUCUGUGAGCACUGCAGACCUGCACUCUUAUCUCUGGUUAGUCAGCUGAGCCUUGCUCCCAUCUUUCUGCACCUGGUGACAUCCAGUAUUUUGUCUGGAUUAAUCACUGGAUGUAAGUUACAGUCUUCUGCAUCCUAACAUUAGCACUGAGCUCUGACAGAGGGGAAAAAAACCCUCUGUUCUGAUUCUUAAAUUGUCUGUCCAAAGUUGAAGAAUGUGUUGCAGCUGA